AGUGAACGCUGGCGGCGCGCUUAACACAUGCAAGUCGAACGAGAACGGAUUAUAGCUUGCUAUAAUUGUCAGCUAAGUGGCGCACGGGUGAGUAAUGUAUAGGUAAUAUGCCUCUUACUAAGGGAUAACAAAUGGAAACGUUUGCUAAUACCUUAUACUCCUUAAUAACAGAAGUUAAUAAGGGAAAGAUUUAUUGGUAAGAGAUUAGCCUGUAUUGUAUCAGUUAGUUGGUGGGGUAAUGGCUUACCAAGACUAUGACACAUAACUGGUUUGAGAGGAUGAUCAGUCACACUGGAACUGAGACACGGUCCAGACUCCUACGGGAGGCAGCAGUGGGGAAUAUUGCACAAUGGACGAAAGUCUGAUGCAGCAACGCCGCGUGGAGGAUGACACAUUUCGGUGCGUAAACUCCUUUUAUAUGAGAAGAUAAUGACGGUAUUAUAUGAAUAAGCACCGGCUAACUCCGUGCCAGCAGCCGCGGUAA
RNAcentral lists this ribosomal RNA (484 nucleotides) under uncultured bacterium. RNAcentral describes it as "partial 16S ribosomal RNA". It matches the Rfam family "Bacterial small subunit ribosomal RNA", at positions 29 to 523 of the family's 1533-position model. The record is from RNAcentral.